Molecule: non-coding RNA, 29 nt
Filed under: Mus musculus (house mouse)
Lineage: Eukaryota; Metazoa; Chordata; Mammalia; Rodentia; Muridae
Source: RNAcentral
UAGGUCUCAUGGUCAAAGCAGGGUUCCUA